RNAcentral lists this ribosomal RNA (492 nucleotides) under uncultured bacterium. Its description in RNAcentral is "partial 16S ribosomal RNA". It matches the Rfam family "Bacterial small subunit ribosomal RNA", at positions 29 to 507 of the family's 1533-position model. The record is from RNAcentral.
AGUGAACGCUGGCGGUAGGCCUAACACAUGCAAGUCGAACGGCAGCACAGUAAGAGCUUGCUCUUACGGGUGGCGAGUGGCGGACGGGUGAGGAAUACAUCGGAAUCUACUUUUUCGUGGGGGAUAACGUAGGGAAACUUACGCUAAUACCUCAUACGACCUACGGUUGAAAGCAGGGGAUCUUCGGACCUUGCGCGAUUGUAUGAGCCGAUGUCGGUUUAGCUAGUUUGCGGGGUAAAGGCCCACCAAGGCGACGAUCCGUAGCUGGUCUGAGAGGAUGAGCGAGCACACUGGAACUGAGACACGGUCCAGACUCCUACGGGAGGCAGCAGUGGGGAAUAUUGGACAAUGGGGGCAAGCCUGAUCCAGACAGACCGCGUGGGUGAAGAAGGCCUUCGGGUUGUAAAGCCCUUUUGUUGGGAAAGAAAAGCAGCAGGUUAAGACCCCGCUGUUCUGACGGUACCCAAAGAAUAAGCACCGGCUAACUUCGUG